This 496-nucleotide ribosomal RNA is filed under the name uncultured bacterium. Its description in RNAcentral is "partial 16S ribosomal RNA". It matches the Rfam family "Bacterial small subunit ribosomal RNA", at positions 29 to 507 of the family's 1533-position model. The record is from RNAcentral.
AUGAACGCUGGCGGCGUGCCUAAUACAUGCCAGUCGAGCGAACGGACGAGAAGCUUGCUUCUCUGAUGUUAGCGGCGGACGGGUGAGUAACACGUGGAUAACCUACCUAUAAGACUGGGAUAACUUCGGGAAACCGGAGCUAAUACCGGAUGAUAUUUUGAACCGCAUGGUUCAAAAGUGAAAGACGGUCUUGCUGUCACUUAUGGAUGGAUCCGCGCUGCAUUAGCUAGUUGGUAAGGUAACGGCUUACCAAGGCAACGAUGCAUAGCCGACCUGAGAGGGUGAUCGGCCACACUGGAACUGAGACACGGUCCUGACUCCUACGGGAGGCAGCAGUAGGGAAUCUUCCGCAAUGGGCGAAAGCCUGACGGAGCAACGCCGCGUGAGUGAUGAAGGUCUUCGGAUCGUAAAACUCUGUUAUUAGGGAAGAACAUAUGUGUAAGUAACUGUGCACAUCUUGACGGUACCUAAUCAGAAAGCCACGGCUAACUACGUG